GGAUGAGCACAUUGGAGCUGCCAUUGGAGAGCUUUUUCUGUCGGGGGUGCAGUCUGAUAUUCUACUGUUCAACCAGGAAUCACCCCGUCAGCACCAGACCGCAUACCCCAGGAUCAACUGGCUGAAUACAAUGAUGCAUCUGGCUCCAGUGCGCCAUCCCCCGCUCAGAGCGCGGCUGGACCCUCAAGUCAUUCCUACAAAAUCAACAGAAGAUAUGAGAGACUCUUCAGCAUAUGUUAUCAACGUUUUCAAAAAUGACUGACGCUCUCAAAGAAGAAAAAAAGUUAAAUAAACUUUUUUGUAAUUAA
Long non-coding RNA from Perca fluviatilis (European perch), 308 nucleotides. RefSeq lists it as uncharacterized. Lineage: Eukaryota; Metazoa; Chordata; Actinopteri; Perciformes; Percidae. The transcript is spliced from 2 exons. The record is from RefSeq and is a predicted model, not a curated record.